GACGAACGCUGGCGGCGUGCCUAAUACAUGCAAGUCGAGCGAAGUUUUUCUGGUGCUUGCACUAGAAAAACUUAGCGGCGAACGGGUGAGUAACACGUAAAGAACCUGCCUCAUAGACUGGGACAACUAUUGGAAACGAUAGCUAAUACCGGAUAACAGCAUUAACUGCAUGGUUGAUGUUUAAAAGUUGGUUUUGCUAACACUAUGAGAUGGCUUUGCGGUGCAUUAGCUAGUUGGUGGGGUAAAGGCCUACCAAGGCGACGAUGCAUAGCCGACCUGAGAGGGUGAUUGGCCACACUGGGAUUGAGACACGGCCCAGACUCCUACGGGAGGCAGCAGUAGGGAAUCUUCCGCAAUGGGCGAAAGCCUGACGGAGCAACGCCGCGUGAGUGAAGAAGGAUUUCGGUUCGUAAAGCUCUGUUGUUAGGGAAGAAUGAUUGUGUAGUAACUAUACACAGUAGAGACGGUACCUAACCAGAAAGCCACGGCUAACUACGUG
This 499-nucleotide ribosomal RNA is filed under the name uncultured bacterium. RNAcentral describes it as "partial 16S ribosomal RNA". It matches the Rfam family "Bacterial small subunit ribosomal RNA", at positions 28 to 507 of the family's 1533-position model. The record is from RNAcentral.